UGCGAGCAGUGAGCAGAAUCCAUGUCGAA
Molecule: non-coding RNA, 29 nt
Filed under: Mus musculus (house mouse)
Lineage: Eukaryota; Metazoa; Chordata; Mammalia; Rodentia; Muridae
Source: RNAcentral